Molecule: ribosomal RNA, 447 nt
Filed under: uncultured bacterium
Lineage: Bacteria
Description: SSU rRNA
Rfam family: Bacterial small subunit ribosomal RNA
Source: RNAcentral
AGAGCGAACGCUGGCGGCAGGCCUAAUACAUGCAAGUCGAACGGAUCCUUCGGGAUUAGUGGCGGACGGGUGAGUAACACGUGGGAACGUGCCCUUUGGUUCGGAACAACUCAGGGAAACUUGAGCUAAUACCGAAUGUGCCCUUCGGGGGAAAGAUUUAUCGCCAUUGGAGCGGCCCGCGUCUGAUUAGCUAGUUGGUGGGGUAAAGGCCCACCAAGGCGACGAUCAGUAGCUGGUCUGAGAGGAUGAUCAGCCACACUGGGACUGAGACACGGCCCAGACUCCUACGGGAGGCAGCAGUAGGGAAUCUUGCGCAAUGGGCGAAAGCCUGACGCAGCCAUGCCGCGUGAAUGAUGAAGGUCUUAGGAUUGUAAAAUUCUUUCAGCGGGGACGAUAAUGACGGUACCCGCAGAAGAACGCCCCGGCUAACUUCGCGCCAGCAGCCGC